This 91-nucleotide transfer RNA is filed under the name Deltaproteobacteria bacterium. RNAcentral describes it as "tRNA-Ser". It matches the Rfam family "tRNA". Rfam says of the family: Transfer RNA (tRNA) molecules are approximately 80 nucleotides in length. Their secondary structure includes four short double-helical elements and three loops (D, anti-codon, and T loops). Lineage: Bacteria; Pseudomonadati; Myxococcota; Myxococcia. The record is from RNAcentral.
GGGGAGGUGGCCGAGUGGUCUAAGGCGCUGGCCUGGAGUGCCAGUGUGGGUGUUUCGCCCACCGUGGGUUCGAAUCCCACCCUCUCCGCCG